AAAUUGAAGAGUUUGAUCAUGGCUCAGAUUGAACGCUGGCGGCAGGCCUAACACAUGCAAGUCGAACGGUAACAGGAAGCAGCUUGCUGCUUCGCUGACGAGUGGCGGACGGGUGAGUAAUGUCUGGGAAACUGCCUGAUGGAGGGGGAUAACUACUGGAAACGGUGGCUAAUACCGCAUAACGUCGCAAGACCAAAGAGGGGGACCUUCGGGCCUCUUGCCAUCAGAUGUGCCCAGAUGGGAUUAGCUUGUUGGUGAGGUAACGGCUCACCAAGGCGACGAUCCCUAGCUGGUCUGAGAGGAUGACCAGCCACACUGGAACUGAGACACGGUCCAGACUCCUACGGGAGGCAGCAGUGGGGAAUAUUGCACAAUGGGCGCAAGCCUGAUGCAGCCAUGCCGCGUGUAUGAAGAAGGCCUUCGGGUUGUAAAGUACUUUCAGCGGGGAGGAAGGUGUUGCGGUUAAUAACCGCAGCAAUUGACGUUACCCGCAGAAGAAGCACCGGCUAACUCCGUGCCAGCAGCCGCGGUAAUACGGAGGGUGCAAGCGUUAAUCGGAAUUACUGGGCGUAAAGCGCACGCAGGCGGUCUGUCAAGUCGGAUGUGAAAUCCCCGGGCUCAACCUGGGAACUGCAUUCGAAACUGGCAGGCUUGAGUCUUGUAGAGGGGGGUAGAAUUCCAGGUGUAGCGGUGAAAUGCGUAGAGAUCUGGAGGAAUACCGGUGGCGAAGGCGGCCCCCUGGACAAAGA
RNAcentral lists this ribosomal RNA (749 nucleotides) under Salmonella enterica subsp. enterica serovar Infantis. Its description in RNAcentral is "partial 16S ribosomal RNA". It matches the Rfam family "Bacterial small subunit ribosomal RNA", at positions 1 to 739 of the family's 1533-position model. RNAcentral also lists the same sequence under 1 other name. Lineage: Bacteria; Pseudomonadati; Pseudomonadota; Gammaproteobacteria; Enterobacterales; Enterobacteriaceae. The record is from RNAcentral.